This 824-nucleotide ribosomal RNA is filed under the name Bacillus sp. INBio2577K. RNAcentral's name for it is "bacterial SSU rRNA". It matches the Rfam family "Bacterial small subunit ribosomal RNA", at positions 60 to 865 of the family's 1533-position model. Lineage: Bacteria; Bacillati; Bacillota; Bacilli; Caryophanales; Bacillaceae. The record is from RNAcentral.
AGUCGAGCGGACAGAAGGGAGCUUGCUCCCGGAUGUUAGCGGCGGACGGGUGAGUAACACGUGGGUAACCUGCCUGUAAGACUGGGAUAACUCCGGGAAACCGGAGCUAAUACCGGAUAGUUCCUUGAACCGCAUGGUUCAAGGAUGAAAGACGGUUUCGGCUGUCACUUACAGAUGGACCCGCGGCGCAUUAGCUAGUUGGUGAGGUAACGGCUCACCAAGGCGACGAUGCGUAGCCGACCUGAGAGGGUGAUCGGCCACACUGGGACUGAGACACGGCCCAGACUCCUACGGGAGGCAGCAGUAGGGAAUCUUCCGCAAUGGACGAAAGUCUGACGGAGCAACGCCGCGUGAGUGAUGAAGGUUUUCGGAUCGUAAAGCUCUGUUGUUAGGGAAGAACAAGUGCAAGAGUAACUGCUUGCACCUUGACGGUACCUAACCAGAAAGCCACGGCUAACUACGUGCCAGCAGCCGCGGUAAUACGUAGGUGGCAAGCGUUGUCCGGAAUUAUUGGGCGUAAAGGGCUCGCAGGCGGUUUCUUAAGUCUGAUGUGAAAGCCCCCGGCUCAAACCGGGGAGGGUCAUUGGAAACUGGGAAACUUGAGUGCAGAAGAGGAGAGUGGAAUUCCACGUGUAGCGGUGAAAUGCGUAGAGAUGUGGAGGAACACCAGUGGCGAAGGCGACUCUCUGGUCUGUAACUGACGCUGAGGAGCGAAAGCGUGGGGAGCGAACAGGAUUAGAUACCCUGGUAGUCCACGCCGUAAACGAUGAGUGCUAAGUGUUAGGGGGUUUCCGCCCCUUAGUGCUGCAGCUAACGCAUUAAGC